UACGGGGGGGGCAAGCGUUGUUCGGAAUUACUGGGCGUAAAGGGCGCGUAGGCGGUUCGCUAAGUUGGAUGUGAAAACUCUGGGCUCAACCCAGAGCCUGCAUCCAAAACUGGCGGGCUAGAGUUCUGGAGGGGGUAGCGGAAUUCCUGGUGUAGCGGUGAAAUGCGUAGAUAUCAGGAGGAACACCGGUGGCGAAGGCGGCUACCUGGACAGAAACUGACGCUGAGGCACGAAAGCCAGGGGAGCAAACGGG
Molecule: ribosomal RNA, 253 nt
Filed under: uncultured bacterium
Lineage: Bacteria
Description: partial 16S ribosomal RNA
Rfam family: Bacterial small subunit ribosomal RNA
Source: RNAcentral